RNAcentral lists this ribosomal RNA (279 nucleotides) under uncultured bacterium. RNAcentral's name for it is "partial 16S ribosomal RNA". It matches the Rfam family "Bacterial small subunit ribosomal RNA", at positions 506 to 784 of the family's 1533-position model. The record is from RNAcentral.
UGCCAGCAGCCGCGGUAAUACGAAGGGGGCUAGCGUUACUCGGAAUUACUGGGCGUAAAGGGCGCGUAGGCGGCGUUCCAAGUUAGGCGUGAAAGUCCUGGGCUCAACCUGGGAACUGCGCUUAAGACUGGAGUGCUAGAGGAUGGAAGAGGGUUGUGGAAUUCCCAGUGUAGAGGUGAAAUUCGUAGAUAUUGGGAAGAACACCGGUGGCGAAGGCGGCAACCUGGUCCAUUACUGACGCUGAGGCGCGAUAGCGUGGGGAGCAAACAGGAUUAGAUA